RNAcentral lists this ribosomal RNA (253 nucleotides) under uncultured bacterium. Its description in RNAcentral is "partial 16S ribosomal RNA". It matches the Rfam family "Bacterial small subunit ribosomal RNA", at positions 524 to 776 of the family's 1533-position model. The record is from RNAcentral.
UACGUAGGGUGCAAGCGUUAAUCGGAAUGACUGGGCGUAAAGGGUGCGUAGGUGGCGCCGUAAGUCAGGUGUGAAAUUUCGGAGCUUAACUCCGAAACUGCAUUUGAUACUGCGGUGCUUGAGGACUGGAGAGGAGACUGGAAUUUACGGUGUAGCAGUGAAAUGCGUAGAGAUCGUAAGGAAGACCAGUGGCGAAGGCGGGUCUCUGGACAGUUCCUGACACUGAGGCACGAAGGCCAGGGGAGCAAACGGG